CCUGUUCCUGAAAGCUUUGCAGGUAUGGCUGCUGUUUGACAUGUGUGUCAGUAGAUGGCAGAGGGGAGAGGGGCUGCGUCUAUGCUCAGCGUUCUGACCUAUGAAUGAUAAGUGGCCUAACACC
Rattus norvegicus (Norway rat) is the source of this 124-nucleotide small nucleolar RNA. Ensembl annotates it as small nucleolar RNA SNORA17. The record is from Ensembl. NCBI's taxonomy places the organism in Eukaryota, Metazoa, Chordata, Mammalia, Rodentia, Muridae.